UUGAUUUAAGAAAAUACAGGUCAUGAGCCACAGCAUUGAUUUACAGUCCCUAGUGAGUGAGGAUGGCGGGUUAAGGGAUGGUAUGAUCUUCCGGUUUUGCAGAUGGCAUUCAGAAGACCUGAUUGAACCCCAGGAGCCGUGAGAAGCCCUAGGUUCUGUUUUCUGGGGUGAUCUAAUGACACCUGACUGCUGUGUGGAAGUCACUUGCAAACCAGGAGUGGAGGUGAUCAAACUGAGAUCCAGACUAGUGAAGUCACAUGUGAUGAGUUGACAGUUACAUGCGAGUACCCACCUAGACCUGUCACGGGAGCUGAGUUCAUUCCUGGGUGGUGGCUGCUGAUGUGUCUGGUGUUCUGCGGUUCCACGUUGACCUUGUAAACACAGGGGCAGGGUAAUGAAGGAGAGAGGUUGUCACAGAACCCUUCUGAGUCUCUUAUUCUCAGCUGUGAGUCUGCAGCCAUCGAUACCACUGCAAAAGAAGCUUCCUUGCUCUUUACAGUCAGUGGCAGCAAGGAUUAUGGACUUUCACUGGCAUGAGCACGGCCCAUGGACUUCAGCAUGGUGUCUGGUGGCAGUACAGACCACAGAUAUCAACGUGGCCUCCUGCAGGAGCACAGACCACAGGUAUCCACGUGGACCUUGGGUAUCAACACAGUCAAUGGGCAGCACAGACCAUGGCACCAGCACACCCCACAGCUAUAACACGGAUCACUGAUAUCAAGAUAGAUGACCUCGGGGGCAGCAUGGAUCCUGGAGGUCUUUGAAGAGGCCCAAUCCAGAAAAUGAACCAUUCUCCAUCUUGGACAUCCUCUCAUUGCUCAGAGCCAGGGUGAUCAUGUGACUGGCUGGCAUGUUUGGGAGUAAAGCCUAUACAAGCUUCUAGGCUGCUGCAUACCACCCUGCCGGCCCUUGCUGACAACUGCACUCUCCCCUGUACACCAGGAAGCCUUCUCCCACACUUGCCACCACCAUGGCAUCUCUAGUUCUGCCUCUUUCCACUAUGCACCAGUCACUUCUUUCCUCCAUUUUUCCUACCUCUCCAUCACCUAUUUGUUCAUCGGCGAGGCAUUGCAAACUGCAGUGUGUCCCACGGUACAUUGUUUUACCCAAACAGCUUUACGUGCAAAUACUCAUUGCAAUGAGUCAUUGGCCUGGUUCAAGGUUUCUGGUUUCUGAGGCACUGUAAAUGCUGGACCAUCACCAAGACUCAUUAUGGAUAUCCUGCUGUUGCCCACAGUCAGGAUGAUCUCUCAGCUAGGCAGGGCAUCCAGGGGCAGGAUCCAUGAGAGCUCCAGGGGGCUGCACAUCUCCUGUCCUGGAUGCCUGCUGCACCUAGGCUCCUAGGGCAUGACCAUUGUCCUUGCAGCCUCUGAGCGGUGGUGCUGCUCAAAGCUCUCAUUCUUCCAGCAGGGCAAGCAGUGCCGGCUCCAGUCACUGUGACUCUGUGCUGCCAGAUCAUACCCUUCACUCAUUGAUCCUCCAUGGUGCUUCUCUGCAUAUCUGCUACAGGGUUUCAGCUGCAGCCUGGUAUAGGAUACCCGGAUUGGAGUUGACUUUAAUCCUCUAAGUGCAUCCGUACACACACACACACACACACACACACACACACACUAUUUUAAAAUCACAAUUAGUGUUAAUGACAAGGUCUUUAAAUUUAUAUUUAUAAGCACUCCUGGUGUUCAUUAUCAUGCAAAUAAGCAAGGGUUUUGGGAGAUUGGCCGGUGUGACUCUCCAGUUAGCAGCUGUUGGACUCUCUCCUCCCUUGUUGCCUUGCUCACCUGGCUGCUCUGAGAAGAAGAAAAAAAAACCCCUGUCAGUCAAACAUCUAACUGGGCCACUCCUAGGCCAGCAUCAGACAUCUAAAACACUCCAUGAAUGUGCUGAGACAACUAAGCAAAGAUUGUAAUUGAUUAUUGCUGCUCUUGAAGAAAUAAUCAACCUCAGCCAGGGCUGUUUGAAAUAAUUUGUACCAAACUUGGGUAUCGCAAGCCACCAAGAACACUGGAUGAUCCUGCAACCAUUUCCAGAGAGGGAGCAUGUGCCCUGUUCACCUAGCAGAGGGCCUAUUAUGACAGACGCUAAGAGAUAGACACCUGGACCAGAAAUGACAAGUGACUGUUGGAGCAUGAAUCCAGAACUUUGUCAUACCUUCUCCUAUCCCAGUGUCACCCAACUCUCCAACCCCCACAAUCACUAUUGUCAGCAGCAGACGGAAUCAACUCCCAAAAUAAAAUAAAUUAUUUUAUAAAUUA
Long non-coding RNA from Mesocricetus auratus (golden hamster), 2252 nucleotides. RefSeq lists it as uncharacterized. The transcript has 4 exons. The record is from RefSeq and is a predicted model, not a curated record. NCBI's taxonomy places the organism in Eukaryota, Metazoa, Chordata, Mammalia, Rodentia, Cricetidae.